AGAACCUGAAACCGUGUACGUACAAGCAGUGGGAGCCCCACCACUAAGCCAGUGGUGAACUCCACAUACGCAUCCUUUGCUGAGGAUACGGUUAGCGGAGCGAAAGCGACGUUCAACCUCAAAAGAAGCAGAGGGGGCUUAGUGGUGGGGUGACUGCGUACCUUUUGUAUAAUGGGUCAGCGACUUAUAUUCUGUAGCAAGGUUAACCGUAUAGGGGAGCCGAAGGGAAACCGAGUCUUAACCGGGCGUUAAGUUGCAGGGUAUAGACCCGAAACCCGGUGAUCUAGCCAUGGGCAGGUUGAAGGUUGGGUAACACUAACUGGAGGACCGAACCGACUAAUGUUGAAAAAUUAGCGGAUGACCUGUGGCUGGGGGUGAAAGGCCAAUCAAACCGGGAGAUAGCUGGUUCUCCCCGAAAGCUAUUUAGGUAGCGCCUCGUGAACUCAUCUCCGGGGGUAGAGCACUGUUUCGGCUAGGGGGCCAUCCCGGCUUACCAACCCGAUGCAAACUGCGAAUACCGGAGAAUGUUAUCACGGGAGACACACGGCGGGUGCUAACGUCCGUCGUGAAGAGGGAAACAACCCAGACCGCCAGCUAAGGUCCCAAAGUCAUGGUUAAGUGGGAAACGAUGUGGGAAGGCCCAGACAGCCAGGAUGUUGGCUUAGAAGCAGCCAUCAUUUAAAGAAAGCGUAAUAGCUCACUGGUCGAGUCGGCCUGCGCGGAAGAUGUAACGGGGCUAAACCAUGCACCGAAGCUGCGGCAGCGACACUAUGUGUUGUUGGGUAGGGGAGCGUUCUGUAAGCCUGCGAAGGUGGCCUGUGAGGGUUGCUGGAGGUAUCAGAAGUGCGAAUGCUGACAUAAGUAACGAUAAAGCGGGUGAAAAGCCCGCUCGCCGGAAGACCAAGGGUUCCUGUCCAACGUUAAUCGGGGCAGGGUGAGUCGACCCCUAAGGCGAGGCCGAAAGGCGUAGUCGAUGGGAAACGGGUUAAUAUUCCCGUACUUGGUGUUACUGCGAAGGGGGGACGGAGAAGGCUAUGUUGGCCGGGCGACGGUUGUCCCGGUUUAAGCGUGUAGGUGUGUGUUCCAGGUAAAUCCGGUUCACUUUAACACUGAGGCGUGACGACGAGGCACUACGGUGCUGAAGCAACAAAUGCCCUGCUUCCAGGAAAAGCCUCUAAGCAUCAGGUAACAUCAAAUCGUACCCCAAACCGACACAGGUGGUCAGGUAGAGAAUACCAAGGCGCUUGAGAGAACUCGGGUGAAGGAACUAGGCAAAAUGGUGCCGUAACUUCGGGAGAAGGCACGCUGACACGUAGGUGAAGUGAUUUACUCACGGAGCUGAAGUCAGUCGAAGAUACCAGCUGGCUGCAACUGUUUAUUAAAAACACAGCACUGUGCAAACACGAAAGUGGACGUAUACGGUGUGACGCCUGCCCGGUGCCGGAAGGUUAAUUGAUGGGGUCAGCGCAAGCGAAGCUCCUGAUCGAAGCCCCGGUAAACGGCGGCCGUAACUAUAACGGUCCUAAGGUAGCGAAAUUCCUUGUCGGGUAAGUUCCGACCUGCACGAAUGGCGUAAUGAUGGCCAGGCUGUCUCCACCCGAGACUCAGUGAAAUUGAACUCGCUGUGAAGAUGCAGUGUACCCGCGGCAAGACGGAAAGACCCCGUGAACCUUUACUAUAGCUUGACACUGAACAUUGAGCCUUGAUGUGUAGGAUAGGUGGGAGGCUUUGAAGCGUGGACGCCAGUCUGCGUGGAGCCGACCUUGAAAUACCACCCUUUAAUGUUUGAUGUUCUAACGUGGACCCGUGAUCCGGGUUGCGGACAGUGUCUGGUGGGUAGUUUGACUGGGGCGGUCUCCUCCUAAAGAGUAACGGAGGAGCACGAAGGUUGGCUAAUCCUGGUCGGACAUCAGGAGGUUAGUGCAAUGGCAUAAGCCAGCUUGACUGCGAGCGUGACGGCGCGAGCAGGUGCGAAAGCAGGUCAUAGUGAUCCGGUGGUUCUGAAUGGAAGGGCCAUCGCUCAACGGAUAAAAGGUACUCCGGGGAUAACAGGCUGAUACCGCCCAAGAGUUCAUAUCGACGGCGGUGUUUGGCACCUCGAUGUCGGCUCAUCACAUCCUGGGGCUGAAGUAGGUCCCAAGGGUAUGGCUGUUCGCCAUUUAAAGUGGUACGCGAGCUGGGUUUAGAACGUCGUGAGACAGUUCGGUCCCUAUCUGCCGUGGGCGCUGGAGAACUGAGGGGGGCUGCUCCUAGUACGAGAGGACCGGAGUGGACGCAUCACUGGUGUUCGGGUUGUCAUGCCAAUGGCACUGCCCGGUAGCUAAAUGCGGAAGAGAUAAGUGCUGAAAGCAUCUAAGCACGAAACUUGCCCCGAGAUGAGUUCUCCCUGAGACUUUAGGUCUCCUGAAGGAACGUUGAAGACGACGACGUUGAUAGGCCGGGUGUGUAAGCGCAGCGAUGCGUUGAGCUAACCGGUACUAAUGAACCGUGAGGCUUAACCUUACAACGCCGAAG
RNAcentral lists this ribosomal RNA (2514 nucleotides) under Salmonella enterica subsp. enterica serovar Napoli. RNAcentral's name for it is "partial 23S ribosomal RNA". It matches the Rfam family "Bacterial large subunit ribosomal RNA", at positions 545 to 2925 of the family's 2925-position model. The record is from RNAcentral. Lineage: Bacteria; Pseudomonadati; Pseudomonadota; Gammaproteobacteria; Enterobacterales; Enterobacteriaceae.